CCUACAUAUUACGGACGGCUUCCAUCAGGCGAUUUUGUUUUGUUUUACUUUAUUUCUGAGCUCUCUUCCCUUCCACAGAGCUAGCCCAUAGCUAUUGUGUGAAUGUUCAACGGAAUAUUCUGUUCAAUAUUACUUUUAUUUACUUUUUUUCUAUCAUUUGAAAUUGAUUCGUUACAGUUGUCCUCUCACUUGGACUCGCUUGUCGAGGUUUUCCACACUUCGAACAAGAGAAUGACGCAAUACGAACUGCGGACUGCAAGAGG
Molecule: small RNA, 263 nt
Filed under: Histoplasma capsulatum
Lineage: Eukaryota; Fungi; Ascomycota; Eurotiomycetes; Onygenales; Ajellomycetaceae
Also listed under: 1 other name
Description: hypothetical RNA
Source: RNAcentral